This 253-nucleotide ribosomal RNA is filed under the name uncultured prokaryote. RNAcentral's name for it is "partial 16S ribosomal RNA". It matches the Rfam family "Bacterial small subunit ribosomal RNA", at positions 525 to 777 of the family's 1533-position model. The record is from RNAcentral.
ACAGAGGGGGCAAGCGUUGUUCGGAAUUACUGGGCGUAAAGGGCGCGUAGGCGGCCUUCUAAGUCGAACGUGAAAUCCCCGGGCUCAACCCGGGAACUGCGUCCGAUACUGGAAGGCUUGAAUCCGGGAGAGGGAUGCGGAAUUCCAGGUGUAGCGGUGAAAUGCGUAGAUAUCGAGAGGAACACCUGAGGUGAAGACGGGUUGCUGGGCCGACACUGACGCUGAGGCGCGAAAGCCAGGGUAGCAAACGGGA